RNAcentral lists this ribosomal RNA (684 nucleotides) under Apiospora hyphopodii. RNAcentral describes it as "eukaryotic LSU rRNA". The stretch from base 338 to 491 matches the Rfam family "5.8S ribosomal RNA". Lineage: Eukaryota; Fungi; Ascomycota; Sordariomycetes; Amphisphaeriales; Apiosporaceae. RNAcentral also lists the same sequence under 1 other name. The record is from RNAcentral.
GUAACAAGGUCUCCGUUGGUGAACCAGCGGAGGGAUCAUUAGCGAGUUGCCCCGAACUCCCACACCCUUUGUGAACCUAUCCAAUUAUGCCUCGGCGGAGGCGGUAGAGGCCCCGAGGCCUGAAGCUUGGUUACCCUACAGCUACCCUGUAGCGAGUUGCAGUUCCUCUGCAGCGCCUGGGCGGCGCCCGCUGGGCGCGGGGGCGUGCUACCUGUGGCGCGCCCUGUAACGCGGGGCCCAGCGUCCUCCUUCAGGCCUCUCGUGCCCCUACAGCCCGCCGGCGGUCCUCUAAACUCUUGUUGUACCGUAUCUUCUGAGGGCCCAUUGGAAUUGUCAAAACUUUCAACAACGGAUCUCUUGGUUCUGGCAUCGAUGAAGAACGCAGCGAAAUGCGAUAACUAAUGUGAAUUGCAGAAUUCAGUGAACCAUCGAAUCUUUGAACGCACAUUGCGCCCGCCAGCAUUCUGGCGGGCAUGCCUGUUCGAGCGUCAUUUCAACCCUUAAGCCUAGCUUAGUGUUGGGAGACCACCGCCCGUGGCUCCCCAAAGACAGUGGCGGACCGCCGCCGCCCCCAGAGCGUAGUAUUCUCGAUUCUCGCUGCUGUGGGCGCUGCGGCCCUGCCGUAAAACCUUCUUUCUAGUGGUUGACCUCGGAUCAGGUAGGAAUACCCGCUGAACUUAAGCA